RNAcentral lists this ribosomal RNA (522 nucleotides) under uncultured bacterium. RNAcentral describes it as "bacterial SSU rRNA". It matches the Rfam family "Bacterial small subunit ribosomal RNA", at positions 988 to 1509 of the family's 1533-position model. The record is from RNAcentral.
CCAGAGAACUUUCCAGAGAUGGAUUGGUGCCUUCGGGGAACUCUGAGACAGGUGCUGCAUGGCUGUCGUCAGCUCGUGUUGUGAAAUGUUGGGUUAAGUCCCGCAACGAGCGCAACCCUUAUCCUUUGUUGCCAGCGGUUAGGCCGGGAACUCAAAGGAGACUGCCAGUGAUAAACUGGAGGAAGGUGGGGAUGACGUCAAGUCAUCAUGGCCCUUACGAGUAGGGCUACACACGUGCUACAAUGGCGCAUACAAAGAGAAGCGACCUCGCGAGAGCAAGCGGACCUCAUAAAGUGCGUCGUAGUCCGGAUUGGAGUCUGCAACUCGACUCCAUGAAGUCGGAAUCGCUAGUAAUCGUGGAUCAGAAUGCCACGGUGAAUACGUUCCCGGGCCUUGUACACACCGCCCGUCACACCAUGGGAGUGGGUUGCAAAAGAAGUAGGUAGCUUAACCUUCGGGAGGGCGCUUACCACUUUGUGAUUCAUGACUGGGGUGAAGUCGUAACAAGGUAAGCGUAGUGCU